RNAcentral lists this ribosomal RNA (472 nucleotides) under uncultured bacterium. RNAcentral's name for it is "bacterial SSU rRNA". It matches the Rfam family "Bacterial small subunit ribosomal RNA", at positions 29 to 507 of the family's 1533-position model. The record is from RNAcentral.
AGCGAACGCUGGCGGCAUGCUUAACACAUGCAAGUCGCACGGCGGGGGCAACUCCGUCAGUGGCGGACGGGUGAGUAACGCGUAGGAAUCUAUCCUUGGAAAUGGGGGGGAACCAAACCCGGUGGGGAAAACCUAACGGGUACUUAAACGUACCCGCAGUAGAGUCGCCUAGGACGGGACCAAAGAACGAAAGUUCGUUGGAGGAGGACGUCCUGCGUCUGUAGUUAGGUAGUUGGGUAGGGGUAACGCCUACACGCUACGAUCAGUAGCUGGUCUGAGAGGAUGAUCAGCCACAUUGGGACUGAGACACGGCCCAAACUCCUACGGGAGGCAGCAGUGGGGAAUAUUGGACAAUGGGCGCAAGCCUGAUCCAGCAAUGCCGCGUGGGUGAAGAAGGUCUUCGGAUUGUAAAGCCCUUUUGGCGGGGACGAUGAUGACGGUACCCGCAGAAUAAGCUCCGGCUAACUUCGUG